Molecule: ribosomal RNA, 164 nt
Filed under: Musa beccarii
Lineage: Eukaryota; Viridiplantae; Streptophyta; Magnoliopsida; Zingiberales; Musaceae
Description: 5.8S ribosomal RNA
Rfam family: 5.8S ribosomal RNA
About the family: 5.8S ribosomal RNA (5.8S rRNA) is a component of the large subunit of the eukaryotic ribosome.
Source: RNAcentral
UGGACGACUCUCGGCAACGGAUAUCUCGGCUCUCGCAUCUAUGAAGAACGUAGCGAAAUGCGAUACCUGGUGUGAAUUGCAGAAUCCCGUGAACCAUCGAGUCUUUGAACGCAAGUUGCGCCGGAGGCCAUCCGGCCAAGGGCACGCCUGCCUGGGCGUCACGA